This 119-nucleotide ribosomal RNA is filed under the name Salmo trutta (river trout). The record is from RNAcentral. Lineage: Eukaryota; Metazoa; Chordata; Actinopteri; Salmoniformes; Salmonidae.
GUUUACAGGCCAUACCAGCCUGGGUACGCCCGAUCUCGUCUGAUCUCGGAAGCUAAGCAGGUCGGGCCUGGUUACUACUUGGAUGGGAGACCGCCUGGGAAUACCAGGUGCUGUAAGCU